GAUGAACGCUGGCGGCGUGCCUAACACAUGCAAGUCGAGCGAACCCUUCGGGGUGAGCGGCGGACGGGUGAGUAACGCGUGGGUAACCUGCCCUAUACACACGGAUAACGUACCGAAAGGUACGCUAAUACGGGAUAAAGUUGUUGGAUGGCAUCUUCUAACAAUCAAAGCUCCGGCGGUAUAGGAUGGACCCGCGUCGAAGUAGCUAGUUGAUUGGGUAAUGGCUCACAAAGGCGACGAUCAGUAGCCGACCUGAGAGGGUGAUCGGCCACACUGGAACUUAGACACGGUCCAGAAUCCUACGGGAGGCAGCAGUGGGGAAUAUUGCACAAUGGGCGAAAGCCUGAUGCAGCAACGCCGCGUGAGCGAUGAAGGUCUUCGGAUCGUAAAGCUCUGUCCUCAAGGAAGAUAAUGACGGUACUUGAGGAGGAAGCCCCGGCUAACUACGUGCCAGCCGCCGCAGUAA
Molecule: ribosomal RNA, 466 nt
Filed under: uncultured bacterium
Lineage: Bacteria
Description: partial 16S ribosomal RNA
Rfam family: Bacterial small subunit ribosomal RNA
Source: RNAcentral